RNAcentral lists this ribosomal RNA (497 nucleotides) under uncultured bacterium. RNAcentral's name for it is "partial 16S ribosomal RNA". It matches the Rfam family "Bacterial small subunit ribosomal RNA", at positions 28 to 507 of the family's 1533-position model. The record is from RNAcentral.
GAUGAACGCUGGCGGCGUGCCUAAUACAUGCCAGUCGAGCGAACAGACGAGGAGCUUGCUCCUCUGACGUUAGCGGCGGACGGGUGAGUAACACGUGGAUAACCUACCUAUAAGACUGGGAUAACUUCGGGAAACCGGAGCUAAUACCGGAUAAUAUAUUGAACCGCAUGGUUCAAUAGUGAAAGACGGUUUUGCUGUCACUUAUAGAUGGAUCCGCGCCGCAUUAGCUAGUUGGUAAGGUAACGGCUUACCAAGGCAACGAUGCGUAGCCGACCAGAGAGGGUGAUCGGCCACACUGGAACUGAGACACGGUCCAGACUCCUACGGGAGGCAGCAGUAGGGAAUCUUCAGCAAUGGGCGAAAGCUUGACGGAGCAACGCCGCGUGAGUGAUGAAGGUCUUCGGAUCGUAAAACUCUGUUAUUAGGGAAGAACAAAUGUGUAAGUAACUAUGCACGUCUUGACGGUACCUAAUCAGAAAGCCACGGCUAACUACGUG